GAUGAACGCUAGCGGCAGGCUUAACACAUGCAAGUCGAGGGGUAGGUUACUUCGGUAAUUGAGACCGGCGCACGGGUGCGUAACGCGUAUACAAUCUACCUUUUACAGAGGGAUAGCCCAGAGAAAUUUGGAUUAAUACCUCAUAGUAUUUUUGAAUCGCAUGAUUUGAUUAUUAAAGUUCCAACGGUAAAAGAUGAGUAUGCGUCCCAUUAGCUAGAUGGUAAGGUAACGGCUUACCAUGGCUACGAUGGGUAGGGGUCCUGAGAGGGAGAUCCCCCCACACUGGUACUGAGACACGGACCAGACUCCUACGGGAGGCAGCAGUGAGGAAUAUUGGUCAAUGGGCGCAAGCCUGAACCAGCCAUGCCGCGUGCAGGAAGACGGUCCUAUGGAUUGUAAACUGCUUUUUAUACAGGAAGAAACCCUACCCACGUGUGGGAGCUUGACGGUACUGUAGGAAUAAGGAUCGGCUAACUACCGUGCCAGCA
This 488-nucleotide ribosomal RNA is filed under the name uncultured bacterium. Its description in RNAcentral is "bacterial SSU rRNA". It matches the Rfam family "Bacterial small subunit ribosomal RNA", at positions 28 to 513 of the family's 1533-position model. The record is from RNAcentral.